RNAcentral lists this ribosomal RNA (459 nucleotides) under Neisseria arctica. RNAcentral describes it as "bacterial SSU rRNA". It matches the Rfam family "Bacterial small subunit ribosomal RNA", at positions 21 to 477 of the family's 1533-position model. The record is from RNAcentral. RNAcentral also lists the same sequence under 3 other names. Lineage: Bacteria; Pseudomonadati; Pseudomonadota; Betaproteobacteria; Neisseriales; Neisseriaceae.
GGCUCAGAUUGAACGCUGGCGGCAUGCUUUACACAUGCAAGUCGAACGGCAGCACGAAAGAGCUUGCUCUUUUGGUGGCGAGUGGCGAACGGGUGAGUAAUACAUUGGAACGUACCGAGUAAUGGGGGAUAACUGUCCGAAAGGAUGGCUAAUACCGCAUACGCUCUGAGGAGGAAAGCGGGGGACCUUCGGGCCUCGCGUUAUUCGAGCGGCCAAUGUCUGAUUAGCUAGUUGGUGGGGUAAAGGCCUACCAAGGCGACGAUCAGUAGUGGGUCUGAGAGGAUGAUCCGCCACACUGGGACUGAGACACGGCCCAGACUCCUACGGGAGGCAGCAGUGGGGAAUUUUGGACAAUGGGCGAAAGCCUGAUCCAGCCAUGCCGCGUGUCUGAAGAAGGCCUUCGGGUUGUAAAGGACUUUUGUCAGGGAAGAAAGGGUUUGGGUUAAUACCCUGAGCUUA